RNAcentral lists this ribosomal RNA (788 nucleotides) under uncultured archaeon. RNAcentral's name for it is "bacterial SSU rRNA". It matches the Rfam family "Archaeal small subunit ribosomal RNA", at positions 90 to 879 of the family's 1478-position model. The record is from RNAcentral.
UCAGUAACACGUAGUCAACCUAACUCGUGGACGUGGAUAACCUCGGGAAACUGAGAAUAAAUCACGAUAGAUCAUAGUGCCUGGAAUGGCUUAUGGUCCAAACAGUUUACUGUCAUGGGAUGGGACUGCGGCCUAUCAGCUUGUUGGUGAGGUAAUGGCCCACCAAGGCGAUUACAGGUACGGGCUCUGAGAGGAGAAGCCCGGAGAUGGGUACUGAGACACGGACCCAGGCCCUAUGGGGCGCAGCAGGCGAGAAACCUUAGCAAUGUGCGAAAGCACGACUGGGUCAGUCCGAGUGAUUCCUGAUAAAGGAGUCUUUUGCCUCUCUUAAAAGCACAGGUGAAUAAGGGGUGGGCAAGUUUGGUGUCAGCCGCCGCGGUAAUACCAGCACCUCGAGUGGUCAGGACGUUUAUUGGGCCUAAAGCAUCCGUAGCCGGCUCUGCAAGUCUUCGGUUAAAUCCACCUGCUCAACAGAUGGGCUGCUGGAGAUACUACAGAGCUAGGGAGUGGGAGAGGCAGACGGUAUUCAGUGGGUAGGGGUGAAAUCCUUUGAUCCAUUGAGGACCACCAGUGGCGAAGGCGGUCUGCCAGAACACGUUCGACGGUGAGGGAUGAAAGCUGGGGGAGCAAACCGGAUUAGAUAUUCCGGGUAGUCCCAGCUGUAAACGAUGCAAACUCGGUGAUGCAUUGGCUUAUGGCCAAUGCAGUGCCGCAGGGAAGCCGUUAAGUUUGCCGCCUGGGAAGUACUGGACGCAAGUUUGAAGUUAAAGGAAUCGGCGGGGGAGCAC